AAACGUACCUGACAUGGGGGCACCGUGAUCAUGAAGGUGGUUUCCCAGGGUGAGGGUCUUCCAUCGUACCCCAGGUACGCUGACCCCAGAGAUUUCCCCAAAUGCAGGAAACAAGCUCUGUAAUUUGUGGUGUGGAGGACUAUGUUCAUGCUUUUCCC
Small nuclear RNA from Manis pentadactyla (Chinese pangolin), 158 nucleotides. RefSeq annotates it as U1 spliceosomal RNA. NCBI's taxonomy places the organism in Eukaryota, Metazoa, Chordata, Mammalia, Pholidota, Manidae. The record is from RefSeq and is a predicted model, not a curated record. The transcript has a single exon.